This 262-nucleotide long non-coding RNA is filed under the name Elaeis guineensis (African oil palm). Its description in RNAcentral is "long non-coding RNA (EGUI_LNC003661)". The record is from RNAcentral. Lineage: Eukaryota; Viridiplantae; Streptophyta; Magnoliopsida; Arecales; Arecaceae.
GGACUGGACGGUUUUCCUCUGCUCUUCUUCGAGAGAUAUUGGAGCAUCAUUCGGAAUGAGAUGAUGGAUGUGGUGUAGCAAUUCUUCACUACUGGGAGAAUGUCAAUGGUCUGAAAGUAGAUCUUUGUCAUCCUAAUCUCAAAGCAACAGAAUGCCUUCGAGCCGAGUCACUACAAGUCCUUAGCUUAUGCACGACCCUAUACAAGGCCUAUGCUAAAGUCAUGGUUGGUAGGAUGAAGCAUCUACUUCCACAUCUCAUCUA